GAUUCGNAUGGGGGAACCCUGACGCAGCAACUCCGCGUGGGUGAAGAAGGCCUUCGGGUCUUAAAGCCCUGUCAGGUGGGAAGAACGUCCUGGGGUUGAAUAGACUUUGGGAGUGACGGUACCACCAGAGGAAGCACCGGCUAACUCCGUGCCAGCAGCCGCGGUAAUACGGAGGGUGCGAGCGUUGUUCGGAAUCAUUGGGCGUAAAGGGCGUGCAGGCGGUUGGGUAAGUCUGAUGUGAAAGCCCGGGGCUCAACCCCGGAAGUGCAUUGGAAACUGUCCNGACUUGAGUACCGGAGAGGAUGGGGGAAUUCCCGGUGUAGAGGUGAAAUUCGUAGAGAUCGGGAGGAAUACCAGUGGCGAAGGCGCCCAUCUGGACGGAUACUGACGCUGAGACGCGAAAGCGUGGGGAGCAAACAGGAUUAGAUACCCUGGUAGUCCACGCUGUAAACGAUGAGCACUAGGUGUAGCGGGUAUUGACCCCUGCUGUGCCGCAGCUAACGCAUUAAGUGCUCCGCCUGGGGAUUACGGUCGCAAGACUAAAACUCAAAAAAAUUGNACGGA
This 564-nucleotide ribosomal RNA is filed under the name uncultured bacterium. RNAcentral's name for it is "bacterial SSU rRNA". It matches the Rfam family "Bacterial small subunit ribosomal RNA", at positions 359 to 918 of the family's 1533-position model. The record is from RNAcentral.